GUGGGGGAUAUUGCACAAUGGGGGGAACCCGUGAUGCAGCGACGCCGCGUGGGUGAAGGAGCGUUUCGGCGCGUAAAGCCCUAUCGGCAGGGAAGAAGAUGACGGUACCUGACCAAGAAGCCCCGGCUAACUACGUCGCC
RNAcentral lists this ribosomal RNA (140 nucleotides) under uncultured bacterium. RNAcentral's name for it is "partial 16S ribosomal RNA". It matches the Rfam family "Bacterial small subunit ribosomal RNA", at positions 354 to 509 of the family's 1533-position model. The record is from RNAcentral.